This is a small nucleolar RNA of Phragmites australis (common reed), 139 nucleotides long. RefSeq annotates it as small nucleolar RNA Z247. The record is from RefSeq and is a predicted model, not a curated record. The transcript has a single exon. Lineage: Eukaryota; Viridiplantae; Streptophyta; Magnoliopsida; Poales; Poaceae.
CUGCUCAAAGAAGAUGAGUUGAUCUCCUACAUCCUCUCUGGUCUUGAUCAAGAAUACAAUCCACUCUCGACGUCGAUCACAACUAGAGUGGAACCAAUCUUGCUUGCUGACUUUUAUGCGCACCUUCUCACCUUUGAGA